GUGAGGGAUGACGGCCUUCGGGUUGUAAACCUCUUUCACCACCGACGAAGCGCAAGUGACGGUAGGUGGGGAAGAAGCACCGGCCAACUACGUGCCAGCAGCCGCGGUAAUACGUAGGGUGCGAGCGUUGUCCGGAAUUAUUGGGCGUAAAGGGCUCGUAGGCGGUUUGUCGCGUCGGGAGUGAAAACCUCGGGCUUAACUCGGGGCUUGCUUUCGAUACGGGCAGACUGGAGGUAUGCAGGGGAGAACGGAAUUCCUGGUGUAGCGGUGAAAUGCGCAGAUAUCAGGAGGAACACCGGUGGCGAAGGCGGUUCUCUGGGCAUGACCUGACGCUGAGGAGCGAAAGUGUGGGGAGCGAACAGGAUUAGAUACCCUGGUAGUCCACACCGUAAACGUUGGGCGCUAGGUGUGGGAUCCAUUCCACGGGUUCCGUGCCGCAGCUAACGCAUUAAGCGCCCCGCCUGGGGAGUACGGCCGCAAGGCUAAAACUCGAAGGAAUUGACGGGGGCCCGCACAAGCGGCGGAGCAUGCGGAUUAAUUCGAUGCAACGCGAAGAACCUUACCUGGGUUUGACAUAUGCGGAAAACCUAUAGAGAUAUAGGGUCCUUACGGGCCGCAUACAGGUGGUGCAUGGCUGUCGUCAGCUCGUGUCGUGAGAUGUUGGGUUCAGUCCCGCAACGAGCGCAACCCUUGCUCUCAGUUGCCAGCACCUCGGGUGGC
This 720-nucleotide ribosomal RNA is filed under the name uncultured Actinomyces sp. Its description in RNAcentral is "bacterial SSU rRNA". It matches the Rfam family "Bacterial small subunit ribosomal RNA", at positions 401 to 1135 of the family's 1533-position model. Lineage: Bacteria; Bacillati; Actinomycetota; Actinomycetes; Actinomycetales; Actinomycetaceae. The record is from RNAcentral.